This is an unclassified non-coding RNA of Ictidomys tridecemlineatus (thirteen-lined ground squirrel), 265 nucleotides long. Its record names the gene 7SK. It matches the Rfam family "7SK RNA". From Rfam's summary of the family: 7SK was discovered as an abundant small nuclear RNA in the mid-70s but a possible function has only recently been suggested. Two independent studies have found that 7SK RNA binds the CDK9/cyclin T complex (known as elongation factor P-TEFb). P-TEFb activates transcription by phosphorylating the C-terminal domain of RNA polymerase II. The record is from Ensembl. Lineage: Eukaryota; Metazoa; Chordata; Mammalia; Rodentia; Sciuridae.
GGAUGUGAGGGUCAAUUGGCUGCAACAUCUGUCACCCCACUGAUUGCCAGGGUUGAUUUGGCUCUCUGGGUGGGUGUCCCCUUCCUCCCUCACAGCUCCAUGUGAGUCCCUCCUGAAGCCGCACAUUCAGUGGAAGAGGACAACCUUCCUUGAUAGAGGAAGAAAUGUUCUUAAGGGUAUGGGAGUAGCUGCUGGAACCCCCCCCCAACAAACCAACAGAAAAACGUGAAGCCUCCAAAUGCCUCAUGCCUGCUUUUCUCUAUUU